Ornithodoros turicata is the source of this 252-nucleotide long non-coding RNA. RefSeq lists it as uncharacterized. Lineage: Eukaryota; Metazoa; Arthropoda; Arachnida; Ixodida; Argasidae. The record is from RefSeq and is a predicted model, not a curated record. The transcript has 2 exons.
CAGGACAGAGAGCGAUGCGUGAAAGAAAGCCAGAUGUUGAGCAAAGGGCGAGCCUGUACACAGAUGUAACGCGUAGUCGCAAAGAAAGAAGACAGCCUGGAUGCCGAAACGACGUGGCUUCCCGCGAGGUUCUAGUGCAUUUCAACUAUUAGAACGGUCAGUUAACUCCCUUUAUUGUUCACAAGAGAGAGUAUGGAAAAAUGUAGCAGUGCUAAUCAAAUGUAAGGAGAAUAAAACCUUUCGGCAAGCAUA